CAAAUGGCAUAAAACGGAACCCUUAUAGUUUCGCCAUGUCCGUCCGUCUGUCUGUCUGUCUGUCUGUCUGUCUGUCUGUCUGUCUGUCUGUCUGUCUGUCUGUCUGUCUGUCUGUCCGAGGCUUUGCUCCGUGGUCGUUAGUGCUAGAAAGCUGAAAUUUGGCAUGGAUAUAUAAAUCAAUAAAGCCGACAAAGUCGUACAAUAAAAUCUAAAAAUUUAAUUUAUUUUAGGGUACCUCCCCUACACGUAAAGUGGGGGUGAUUUUUUUUUUUCGCUUCAACCCUAGAGUGUGGGGUAUCGUUGAAAAGGUCUUUCAAAACUAACAGGGGUUUUCAAGAAACAUUUUUUGAUAAAGUGAAUAUAUUCGGAGAUAAUCGCUCCGAAAGAAAAAAAAAAAUGUGUCCCCCCCCCUCUAACUUUUGAACCAUAGGUCCAAAAAAUAUGAAAAAAAUCGUGGAAGUAGGGCUUAAGAAAGACAUUAAACGAAAACUAUAGCGGACAUGAUCAGUUUAGCUGUUUUUGAGUUAUCGCAAAAAGUUUUCCCUUCAUAGUAAAAAGACUUACUUUAAUUACGUACUGAUUAUGCAAAUUUGCCUAUUUGUUUAACUCGGGUGAAAGGUACCAUUUACUACACUUUAAGCUCCAGUUUAGCUUAUUGUGACGGAAGAGUAACUACGGAACCCUACACUGAGCGUGGCCCGACAUGCUCUUGGCCGGUUAUUUCAUUUUCAAAUUGGACGAUAUGCCUAAUUAAUUGUUAUUAAUGUUGAAUUUUUAAUGGCGUAUAAUAUAAGACAGCGGUCGUAUAAUGACUGAGAAAUUUGGAUUUUUCUGUUUGAAUAAACAGCAAACUGGAGACAUUGAGAUUAAUUAUAAACUUAUUAUUUUAGGUGUUAUCAAGAAAAAAGGUCUUAACAGAUUUAUGAAUAGGCAUUGGCAGAAAAACAGGCGUCCGACUUUUAUCAUGUAGCUAUAUCUAUAUGACCUCUGCCGCCGACUUUUUCACCCGUUGGCGCCUGUGCCCAAAUCCUUCUAAGACCGAAGUUUGCUGUUUCCACCUGUCCAAUAAGCUGGCACAUAAGACAGCCUUACAACAUAACUAUUCCCCAAAGUAUCUCGGUGUUACACUGGAUAGAAGCCUGACAUACCGAUUGCACAUAGAGAAGCUAAAAAGUAAAAUAAGGACCAGGAUAUUUUAAUUACGAUACAUAAAUAACUACUAAAACAUGUUUUCUGCAAGAAAUUAGUUAUCUUAUUAUAUUAUAAAAUAUUUAUUAUCCAUCUGUGAUGUUUAUUUCUUGUGAAGAUAUCGAAGUAGCACUUAUCGAUAUAAUAUGAUCAAAAUCGACCCGUCCACAUCCCUAAAAAUCCACACAUACAUAUUUUUACGCACAUAUACAAAGCAGUAUAACCACCAAAAUGGCUACGGCUUGAGUAUUCAAAUUUGUAUUGAGAAAAGGCAACUAUAUCCUGUCUUUAUUUGCCUCUCUAUCGCUCGAAUAUGCAAUACGCAUGCACUCUUCGUCAAAAUCGGUUUCAAACUUUUUCGACUGAGUACGCGCAAUAAACGCCUAGUAGUAGUAUUUAAAUGUUUACCGUAUUCAUUUAAAGCAUCGUAGGACAAUGCCGCUAUGUAAACUGUAAGGUGGGUCUUAAAUUAGUGUGAGUUAUUUUGGCACCGGACUCAACCUUCACGUUACAAUAUUUAAAGUAUUGCGCUGUCAUAGUAACGAAAAUGAUAAACACGUCAAUCGGAGUAAACAAGUAACUAAAUGAUGCAAACAAGAAAAUAUUGCAAAAUAGAUGUCGAACCACCAGCAAAGUUUUUGAAGAGGUGUACCUAGUUCCUGGUACCAACUGGAAACUGAAACUAAUAAUCUACACUCAAGAAAAUGAAAUAUAGUCACAGAAAACUUUAA
Cydia pomonella (codling moth) is the source of this 1919-nucleotide long non-coding RNA. RefSeq lists it as uncharacterized. The transcript has 2 exons. The record is from RefSeq and is a predicted model, not a curated record. NCBI's taxonomy places the organism in Eukaryota, Metazoa, Arthropoda, Insecta, Lepidoptera, Tortricidae.